CCUACGGGUGGCAGCAGUGAGGAAUAUUGGUCAAUGGGCGAAAGCCUGAACCAGCCAAGUCGCGUGAAGGAUGAAGGUUCUAUGCAUUGUAAACUUCUUUUAUAUGGGGAUAAAGUGAGGCACGUGAUCCUUUUUGGAUGUACCAUAUGAAUAAGCAUCGGCUAACUCCGUGCCAGCAGCCGCGGUAAUACGGAGGAUGCGAGCGUUGUCCGGAUUUAUUGGGUUUAAAGGGUGCGUAGGUGGUAAGUUAAGUCAGCGGUGAAAGUGUGUGGCUCAACCCUAGAAGUGCCGUUGAAACUGGUUGACUUGAGUAGACGUGAGGUAGGCGGAAUGCGUGGUGUAGCGGUGAAAUGCAGAGAUAUCACGCAGAACUCCGAUUGCGAAGGCAGCUUACCAACGGAUAACUGACACUGAAGCACGAAAGCGUGGGUAUCAAACAGGAUUAGAUACCCUGGUAGUC
RNAcentral lists this ribosomal RNA (460 nucleotides) under uncultured bacterium. RNAcentral's name for it is "partial 16S ribosomal RNA". It matches the Rfam family "Bacterial small subunit ribosomal RNA", at positions 338 to 795 of the family's 1533-position model. The record is from RNAcentral.